AAACAGAUAACAAAAUUAAACGACUGUUGCUCCUCCAGUUUCCUCUUAAAAAAGGAAAUAGAAAACCACCCUAGACAAAAUAAUAGCAAUUAACAGAAGCAGAGAAGAUCGAACCCUAGAACUCAAAAAGCAUAAGAAGAAAACCAGAGAAAACCCUAGGUUUGUGGCUCUGUAUUAUGGUGUCAAUUAAAUGAGAUUUGAGGA
RNAcentral lists this unclassified non-coding RNA (204 nucleotides) under Hevea brasiliensis (rubber tree). The record is from RNAcentral. Lineage: Eukaryota; Viridiplantae; Streptophyta; Magnoliopsida; Malpighiales; Euphorbiaceae.